RNAcentral lists this ribosomal RNA (276 nucleotides) under uncultured bacterium. Its description in RNAcentral is "partial 16S ribosomal RNA". It matches the Rfam family "Bacterial small subunit ribosomal RNA", at positions 524 to 794 of the family's 1533-position model. The record is from RNAcentral.
UACGGAGGGGGUUAGCGUUGUUCGGAAUUACUGGGCGUAAAGCGCACGUAGGCGGAUUGGAAAGGUUGGGGGUGAAAUCCCCGGGGCUCAACCCCCGGAACUGCCUCCAAAACUUCCAGUCUGGAGUUCGAGAGAGGGUGAGUGGAAUUCCGAGUGUAGAGGUGAAAUUCGUAGGAUAUUCGGAGGAACACCAGUGGCGAAGGCGGCUCACUGGCUCGAUACUGACGCUGAGGUGCGAAAGUGUGGGGAGCAAACAGGAUUAGAUACCCCGGUAGU